AUGUCCGUUUCAAUUACUUCAGUGGAACAGAAAGAGCCCCAAGAACUUCAAGAGAAACUGGGAAGAGAAAGGGGAACUAACUACUCCAUCUAUCAGGAGGCUUCCCUCUGGCCCAAAGCUGUGUACACUCCCACCGGGGAUCUUCAGGGGAAGCACAUUUUGUGCUGCAGAACAUGUGCUAGUUUACAUCCUGUUUUCAUUUCUGCAGAAAAUUCACUUCCUAAACAGUAAUGGUGAGAGUUUCUGUAAUCU
Molecule: long non-coding RNA, 252 nt
Filed under: Parus major (Great Tit)
Lineage: Eukaryota; Metazoa; Chordata; Aves; Passeriformes; Paridae
Description: lncRNA (ENSPMJG00000000537.1)
Source: RNAcentral